This 1136-nucleotide long non-coding RNA is filed under the name Nicotiana benthamiana. Its description in RNAcentral is "long non-coding RNA (NBEN_LNC010466)". Lineage: Eukaryota; Viridiplantae; Streptophyta; Magnoliopsida; Solanales; Solanaceae. The record is from RNAcentral.
UUUAUGUUUUUUUCUCAUAAAUCAUUGGAAAAGACUUCUGAGCCUUUCUCAUGUGGCUUACCUUCUCAUCUUUACUGUCCGACUCAAUUUGAAACCCUAGGAUUUACGGAUUUUUUGGCAAUUUUUAUUUCUUGUGUGCGGGUUAAGGGUUCCACUUUGGGACCUUGGACUCUCAUACUCGCUUUGAGUCUGCAAACCGGCCUUGUACCACUUUUGCUUAUGAUUCUGAAUCUUUCUUUGAUUAAAUUCUCUUCUAAAUAACUUGACAAUCCCUUCUUGAUAUAUUUGUCUACUCUAUAUAUGAGAAAUUCCUCUUUCAUAAGGUUUUUACCAACUAAUUAAUUGAUUCUGAAAUCCGUUUAAUAAGGCUGACGGAUUAUCACUGAUUUUCUUUGAUUGAACCUUCUUUACCUUUUCUUGACUUGUGUUAUUCGAAUUGAACUUGUAACUUUGGUUUCACUCGUCGUAUGAUUGAUUCCCUUUCCAUAUUUGUCACAAACUGUGUACUAUUGAAUGUUUUCCUUAAGUGACUUCUUUGUAUUUACCCCUUUUGUGCUACUUUGAAAAUGUUUUAAUCAAAACUUCUUUCCUUAAUUGGUUUUUACCCGUUGAAAACUAAAUGGAGAUUGAUUCCAAUAAUAUUUCCUUACAUUUCUUACUUUUUUUCUACACUAUUAAAGGGACUGCCCUUCUGCACUCGUAACAGACCUUUAGUACGAUCAUCCUUAACUCCCAAUUCAAUACUCUCACACACUUAAUACUUUGAGUUCAAUACUCUUUCAACAUUUUGCUCUUUCUUGAGAUGUUUUGGAGCUGUUUUGCUUGCAACUUGGCUUUUUUAAGACUCAUGUUAUUACUUGUUUUUCCCUGAAAUUGGUAUGUUUUUUAUUUAAUUUUCUGCUUCACCCUUAUGUGUUUAGUUCAUAGUUUCACAUUCUUUUUUACUUUGCUAUUGCUAUUUAGUGAGUAGACUAUGUAUGUCAUUUUCCUGCAUAUGUUUCUAUCAUGAAUACCUACCCUUAUUCCCUUCUUGGUGUUUGAGUUAAAGUUCUUGGCCAGCAGUAUCCAAAUUACUGCCUAGUCCAUAACCUGAUACACAAUGGAUCCUAAUUCCUAAGAUUGGGUUAACAGGCUGG